UGAGGUGGCUAAACGGUCGCACGCAAUGCGUGAGGAAAGUCCGAGCACCAAAGGGCAGGGUGCCAGAUAACGUCUGGUGGAGGCGACUCCAAGGAGAGUGCAACAGAGAUAUACCGCCUAUUGUGUUCUUGCAAUAGGUAAGGGUGGAAAGGUGUGGUAAGAGCGCACCGGCGGCUUGGCGACUUGUCCGUCCUGUAAACCCCACUCGGUGCAAGAUGACCGGAAGUGUAGCCUGCCCGGCAAGCUUCCGACGAUCGCUAGAGCAUAUUGGCGACAAUAUGCCAAGACAGAUGACCGUUCUCGACAGAACUCGGCUUACUGCCACGCUCAAUUU
This 334-nucleotide RNase P RNA is filed under the name Eubacteriales bacterium. RNAcentral describes it as "RNase P RNA component class A". It matches the Rfam family "Bacterial RNase P class A". Rfam says of the family: Ribonuclease P (RNase P) is a ubiquitous endoribonuclease, found in archaea, bacteria and eukarya as well as chloroplasts and mitochondria. Its best characterised activity is the generation of mature 5'-ends of tRNAs by cleaving the 5'-leader elements of precursor-tRNAs. Lineage: Bacteria; Bacillati; Bacillota; Clostridia; Eubacteriales. The record is from RNAcentral.